UACGUAGGGGGCAAGCGUUGUCCGGAAUUAUUGGGCGUAAAGGGCGCGUAGGCGGCCUUGUCAGUCAGGCGUGAAAGCCCCGGGCUCAACCUGGGAACGGCGCUUGGGACGGCGAGGCUGGAGUUCGGGAGAGGAGAGUGGAAUUCCCAGUGUAGAGGUGAAAUUCGUAGAUAUUGGGAAGAACACCGGUGGCGAAGGCGGCUCUCUGGACCGACACUGACGCUGAGGCGCGAAAGCGUGGGGAGCAAACAGG
This 253-nucleotide ribosomal RNA is filed under the name uncultured bacterium. RNAcentral's name for it is "partial 16S ribosomal RNA". It matches the Rfam family "Bacterial small subunit ribosomal RNA", at positions 524 to 776 of the family's 1533-position model. The record is from RNAcentral.